GGAGUAAAAAUUUCUUCACAGAUGUGCUGAUGGCUGGACAUUGCAUCAUCGUAGAAAACUUGGAGGCCAGUUUGGAAAAAAAUUAAAAGUUAUAAGACUUUUAACACUGUGGAUUUUUGGGUUAUCUUUGGCGCCCCCUAGAACCUAAACUGUGGGGUGCAGCAAGAUGAUUUGUACAACUUUGAAUGGCCAUGGGGGUUAGAUUGGCCUGCGCAAAUGUGGUGCCGGUGGAACGAAAGCCUUCGGAGGAGUUAGCGAAAUUCCAAUGUGUGCAGAUCUGCAAAAAAUGCGAAAUAACCCUUUAACCGUACAUUUGACAGAUACGCCCGCACUGACUUUUUUGUAGAUCUUAUUGAGAUACAUGUGUGUGUCAAUUUUUGUGUCAUUUUGACAAAGCGUACAGCCGUCAUGUGAAUUUUCACCUUAGGGGGCGCUAUUGAGCCAUUUUGCAUUUUAUUGUUUGGGCGACUUCAGAAUAUCGAAUUUUUCACCAGGCCCGGUCGUCCUGCCAAAUUUCAUGAGUUUUCGCCAGUGGGAAGUGGGCCAUUUUCCAGUUUAAAGCGGAGGAAAAAUAAUAACGAAAGAAGGAAACAUGCAGGAACAAGAGGGCUCUCGCAGCUGCUUAGCAGCUACGCUCGGGCCCUAACUAGGGCCCCGUUGGGGCACUGGCGGGCCCGAGCCGUGUCGCACCCCCCCCCCCAACGCGCUGCCUCCCCGUCCCAUUCGUGUCCUCUGGCCAUCGCCCUCUCUGGUAACGCCCAUCACUGCAAAGACCCUUUUCCUUCAUCGGCGUUUGCUGUUCUUCCUGCCAGUGCGUGUUGCUUUCACUUACACUUGCCACAGCCAGCCUCGUGAGUGCCUAGCCUAUUGGAUAUCACUGUCACCUACACAGGACAGUCAUACUUUGUUUUUUAAUUUCACAUUAAUUUCCAUAUUGUAUAAACGACUGGAAAAAACUUGAGCCCCUGCCCCUGUAUUAUCAUGUGCACGUCCCUGUUCUAGCUCCAAGGUGAAUCUUCAGUGCUCAUGUUCUCCUCAGAAGCAGUCACCUCACUCCCCUCAGGUUACUGUACACAUGCACCAACUGCCUGCUUCAGGUUUGGAUGGAGCUUCAUGGUUGUCUUUUGGAGAAAUGACCAGUCAAGUUGUGUUUGAAAUCUGAUUUUUUUCAGGGGCAAAAGGAAGCCUCCGCAUUCUUGUCAAAUAUGUAAAUAGCAUGUUUUUGCAGGUGCUAAAAAACAGACUCUGAGUGUGUGUGUGUGUGUGUGUGUGUGUGCGUGUGUGUGUGUGUGUGUCUGUGUGUGUGUGUGUGUGUGUAUCCUGCAGUACUCUGAGAAGAAUAAUAAGCAUAUUUCUGAGGUGAAUUUUGAAGAUUCAUCUGAGAGUUAGGUUUGAUUCGAUUCGAUUGACGCUCCCCAGCGUUCAAGUCACAUGACAUAUUUAACCGGAUGUAGCUGCAAGACGGAGCCUCGUUAACUCUCCGUUUCAACUUAUCUCAAAAGUGAGGACCUCAACCUAUAUACCAGUUUUUAAAUUGUGUUGAUAGGCCAAAUAAAACCAGAGUUAUGAUAAAUUAUGUCCGCGAUACUUUUUUUCUGCUUAUUUUGAUCACGUUCGGCGCUCGAUCGUGCUGUAUGAGACAGGAAAACAUUGCAUGCACACAUUAGUGACAGGUCAUACAGGCGGAAAAGGCUUGCCAAAAGAAAAAAAAAACACACCACAACAUCUCUCCUAUUGGUGGAAAACUUCACCACAACAACCAAUCCAAAAUUAUAUGGUGACUGAUUGACAAGGGGCGGGCGCUUACGUUCUUCCUGCAACAUGAGAAGGGAGGGAGGGACUCUCAGCAGGGAUGCAGUCUGGGACACGUAGUUGCAAACCUAGCGACUUUGUUGUUAGAUUCAAUGACUUUUCAGACCCCCUAACGACUUUUUUUUAGAAAGAAAGGGACUUUUAUCGACUUCUUCUGGAGUUUAGAGACUCUGACAUGAAGCAGGCUUUCCUUACUGAGGAGUUAGCAACGCUGCUAAGGGUGCAGAGCCACACAUGCGCUCCGAGCUCUGCAUGGGAGACAGAAGCUGACAGAGCUGCAGCAGUUAGCAGGUUUCACCCUCAGAGACCACCAGGGGUUCAUGUUGAGGCAUUUUCAGUUUUUUUUUUUUUUUGCCAUAGACAGUCAGCACAAUCUGCAGUUACACUAACAAAAAUGCUGCAAAAAACAAAGAAUUAUGGAAAAAUUACACAUGGACUGACAUAGAGGAGGAUCUACACAAGUUUUUUACAUCAUGUUUUACAUCAUGCAUCAUUUACAUCAUGUUUUUUUGUAGUGGCAUAAAUAAAAAGUGACAUUUGUGAGACUAUACAGUGUUUUGUAAAUAAUUUUACAAAGAACGCCUGGGCCAUUGCCUGCAUUUUGAUGUAAAUAGAGGUAAAUCACUAUGUUCUUUGUUAAAAAUUUGCAUAUGUUUUGAAGUUUACAAUUUUUAUUUGAAGUUUAAGUUUUAAAAACAGUUCAUCACACAUAUUUGUGGUUUAAUUUCACAUUAAUUUCCAUAUUGUAUAAAUGACUGGAAAAAACUUGAGCCCCUGCCCCUGUAUAAUCAUGUGCACGUCCCUGUUCUAGCUCCAAGGUGAAUCUUCACUGCUCAUGUUCUCCUCAGAAAUAGUCACCUCACUCUCCUCAGGUUACUGUACACAUGCACCAACUAUCUGCUUCAGGUUUGGAUGGAGCUUAAUGGUUGUCUUUUGGAGAAAUGAACAGUCAAGUUGUGUUUGAAAUCUGAUUUUUUUCAGGGGCAAAAGGAAGCCUCUGCAUUCUUGUCAAAUAUGUAAACAGCAUGUUUUUGCAGGUGCUAAAAAACAGACUCUGAGUGUGUGUGUGUGUGUGUGUGUGUGUGUGUGUGUGUGUGUGUGUGUGUGUGUAUGUGUGUGUGUAUCCUGCAGUACUCUGUACUCCUGCAGUGGCCAAAAAGACUUUUAAGAAUGUGGAUUUUUAGGUCAUCUUUGGCGCCCCCUAGAACUGCAUUACUCUGUACUCCUGCAGUGGCCAAAAUGACUUUUAAGAAUGUGGAUUUUUGGGUCAUCUUUGGCGCCCCCUACAACGUAAACCGUGGGGUGCAGCGUCAUGAUUUUUACAACUUUGAAUGGGCAUGGGGUGUAGAUUGGCCUGAGCAAAUUUGGUAUCGGUGGGACGAAAGCCUUAGGAGGAGAUAGCCACAUUCCAAUGUGUGCGAAUCAACCAAAAAUGCGAAAUAGCCCUUUAACCGUACAUUUUGCAGACACGUGCGCAUUGACUUUUUCGUAGAUCUUAUUGAGAUACACGUGAUUAUCAAAUUUUGUUUCAAUAUGACAAAGCGUACAGGCGUGACACUCAACAAUGUGUAUUUUCACCUUAUAGGACAAGAAAAAAUGGCCUUUUUUCUCCUGCCAUGGGGGGGCGCUCUUUUGGGGAGUAAAAAUUCCUUCACAAAUGUGUUGAUGGCUGGACAUUGCAUCAUCCUAGAAAACUUGGAGGCCAGUGAGGACAGAAAUAAAAAGUUAUAAGACUUGUAAGAAUGUGGAUUUUUGGGUUAUCUUUAGCGCCCCCUACAACGUAAACCGUGGGGUGCAGCGUCAUGAUUUGUACAACUUUGAAUGGCCAUGGGGUGUAGAUUGGCCUGAGCAAAUUUGGUGCCGGUGGAACGAAAGCCUUCGGAGGAGUUAGCGAAAUUCCAAUGUGUGCGGAUCGGCAAAAAAUGCGAAAUAGCCCUUUAAACGUACAUUUGACAGAUACGCCCGCACUGACUUUUUUGUAGAUCUUAUUGAGAUACACGUGUGUGUCAAAUUUUGUGUCAUUUUGACAAAGCGUACAGGCGUGACACUCAAUCAUGUGAAUUUUUCACCUUAGGGGGCGCUAUGGAGCCAUUUUGCAUUUGAUUGUUUGGGUGACUUCAGAAUAUCAAAUUUUUCACCAGGCCCGGUCGUCCUGCCAAAUUUCAUGAGUUUUCACCAGUGGGAAGUGGGCCAUUUUCCAGUUCAAAGGGGCAGAAAAAUAAUAAGAAGAAGAAGAAGAACUAGGGCCCCGUUGGGGCACUGGCGGGCCCGAGCCGUGUCACGCCGCCCCCAGCGCGACCGCCUCCCCCACCCGAUCGCGUCACACUCAAGGUCCAAAGAUGGUGUGCGCACUUGUUUGUGGUCAUUUACCAUUAUAAUGAACGGGAGGCGCAGUUUCUACCAAAACGCUCGCUGCAGAAAAACUCCAUGUCCUAUUUGAAAAAAGUCUGGACCAUGAGUGAGGGCACAAACACAGCUAAGAUAUAUUCAAAUGGCAAGUUGCUCCUCCUUUCGCUUUUGCCGAGAGAGCAGUGCGUUUGAGCCAUUGAAUGAUGAACAGGAAAAACUUGACUUUAUUCUCCUGCCAUGGGGGGGCGCUCUUUUAAAGAGAAAAAACUCCUUCACAAAUGUGUUGAUGGCUGGACAUUGCAUCAUCCUAGAAAACAUGGAGGCCAGUGAGGACAAAAAUAAAAAGUUAUAAGACUUUUAAAUAUGUGGAUUUUAGGGUUAUCUUUGGCGCCCCCUAGAACCUAAACCGUGGGGUGCAGCGUCAUGAUUUGAAUAACUUUUAAUGGCCAUGGGGUGUAGAUUGGCCUGAGCAAAUGUGGUGCCGGUGGAACGAAAGCCUUCGGAGGAAUUAGCGAAAUUCCAAUGUGUGCGAAUCUGCAAAAAAUGCAAAAUAACCCUUUAACCGUACAUUUUACAGAUACGUGGCCAUUGACUUUUUCGAAGAUCUUAUUGAAAUACACGUGUAUGUAAAAUUUUGUGUCAAUACGACAAAACAUACAGGCGUAGCACUCAACAAUGUGUAUUUUCACCUUAGUGGACAAGAAAAAAUUGACUUUUUUCUCCUGCCAUGGGGGGGCGCUCUUUUGGCGAGUAAAAAUUCCUUCACAAAUGUGUUGAUGGCUGGACAUUGCAUCAUCCUAGAAAACUUGGAGGCCAGUGGGGACAAAAAUAAAAAGUUAUAAGACUUUUAAAUAUGUGGAUUUUACGGUUAUCUUUGGCUCCCCCUAGAACCUAAACCGUGGGGUGCAGCGUCAUGAUUUGAAUAACUUUUAAUGGCCAUGGGGUGUAGAUUGGCCUGAGCAAAUGUGGUGCCGGUGGAACGAAAGCCUUCGGAGGAGUUAGCGAAAUUCCAAUGUGUGCGGAUCGGCAAAAAAUGCGGAAUAACCCUUUAACCUUACAUUUGACAGAUACGCGCGCAUUGACUUUUUCGUAGAUCGUAUUGAGAUACAUGUGUGUGUCAAUUUUUGUGUCAUUUUGCCAAAGCGUACAGGUGUUACACUCAACAAUGUGUAUUUUCACCUUAGGGGACAAGAAAAAAUGGACUUUUUUCUCCUGCCAUGGGGGGGCGCUCUUUUGGGGAGUAAAAAUUCCUUCACAAAUGUGUUGAUGGCUGGACAUUGCAUCAUCCUAGAAAACUUGGAGGCCAGUGAGGGCAAAAAUAAAAAGUUAUAAGACUUUUAAAUAUGUGGAUCUUAGGGUUAUCUUUGGCGCCCCCUAGAACCUAAACCGUGGGGUGCAGCGUCAUGAUUUGAAUAACUUUUAAUGGCCAUGGGGUGUAGAUUGGCCUGAGCAAAUGUGGUGCCGGUGGAACGAAAGCCUUCGGAGGAGUUAGCGAAAUUCCAAUGUGUGCGGAUCGGCAAAAAAUGCGAAAUAACCCUUUAACCGUACAUUUGACAGAUACGCCCGCACUGACUUUUUUGUAGAUCUUAUUGAGAUACAUGUGUGUGUCAAUUUUUGUGUCAUUUUGACAAAGCGUACAGGCGUGACAGUGAAUAGUGUGAAUUUUCACCUUAGGGGGCGCUAUGGAGCCAUUUUGCAUUUUCUUGUUUGGGCGACUUCGGAAUAUCAAAUUUUUCACCAGGCCCGGUCGUCCUGCCAAAUUUCAUGAGUUUUCGCCAGUGGGAAGUGGGCCAUUUUCCAGUUCAAAGGGGAGGAAAAAUAAUAACUAGGGCCCCGUUGGGGCACUGGCGGGCCCGAGCCGUGUCACGCCGCCCCCAGCGCGACCGCCUCCCCCACCCGAUCGCGUCACACUCAAGGUCCAAAGAUGGUGUGCGCACUUGUUUGUGGUCAUUUACCAUUAUAAUGAACGGGAGGCGCAGUUUCUACCAAAACGCUCGCUGCAGAAAAACUCCAUGUCCUAUUUGAAAAAAGUCUGGACCAUGAGUGAGGGCACAAACACAGCUAAGAUAUAUCCAAAUGGCAAGUUGCUCCUCCUUUCGCUUUUGCCGAAAGAGCAGUGCGUUUGAGCCAUUGAAUGAUGAACAGGAAAAACUUGACUUUAUUCUCCUGCCAUGGGGGGGCGCUCUUUUAAAGAGAAAAACUCCUUCACAAAUGUGUUGAUGGCUGGACAUUGCAUCAUCCUAGAAAACAUGGAGGCCAGUGAGGACAAAAAUAAAAAGUUAUAAGACUUUUAAAUAUGUGGAUUUUAGGGUUAUAUUUGGCGCCCCCUAGAACCUAAACCGUGGGGUGCAGCGUCAUGAUUUGAAUAACUUUUAAUGGCCAUGGGGUGUAGAUUGGCCUGAGCAAAUGUGGUGCCGGUGGAACGAAAGCCUUCGGAGGAAUUAGCGAAAUUCCAAUGUGUGCGAAUCUGCAAAAAAUGCGAAAUAACCCUUUAACCGUACAUUUUACAGAUACGUGGCCAUUGACUUUUUCGAAGAUCUUAUUGAAAUACACGUGUAUGUAAAAUUUUGUGUCAAUACGACAAAACAUAAAGGCGUAGCACUCAACAAUGUGUAUUUUCACCUUAGUGGACAAGAAAAAAUUGACUUUUUUCUCCUGCCAUGGGGGGGCGCUCUUUUGCCGAGUAAAAAUUCCUUCACAAAUGUGUUGAUGGCUGGACAUUGCAUCAUCCUAGAAAACUUGGAGGCCAGUGAGGGCAAAAAUAAAAAGUUAUAAGACUUUUAAAUAUGUGGAUCUUAGGGUUAUCUUUGGCUCCCCCUAGAACCUAAACCGUGGGGUGCAGCGUCAUGAUUUGAAUAACUUUUAAUGGCCAUGGGGUGUAGAUUGGCCUGAGCAAAUGUGGUGCCGGUGGAACGAAAGCCUUCGGAGGAGUUAGCGAAAUUCCAAUGUGUGCGGAUCGGCAAAAAAUGCGGAAUAACCCUUUAACCGUACAUUUGACAGAUACGCGCGCAUUGACUUUUUCGUA
Molecule: non-coding RNA, 7186 nt
Organism: Xyrichtys novacula (pearly razorfish)
Lineage: Eukaryota; Metazoa; Chordata; Actinopteri; Labriformes; Labridae
Source: the annotation of a GenBank genome assembly